This 253-nucleotide ribosomal RNA is filed under the name uncultured bacterium. RNAcentral's name for it is "partial 16S ribosomal RNA". It matches the Rfam family "Bacterial small subunit ribosomal RNA", at positions 524 to 776 of the family's 1533-position model. The record is from RNAcentral.
GACGAAGGAUGCAAGCGUUAUCCGGAUUCAUUGGGUUUAAAGGGAGCGUAGGCGGCCUGGUAAGUCAGUGGUGAAAUCUCGCAGCUUAACUGCGAAACUGCCAUUGAUACUGCUAGGCUAGAGUACAGAUGCUGUGGGCGGAAUAUGACAUGUAGUGGUGAAAUGCUUAGAUAUGACAUAGAACACCAAUUGCGAAGGCAGCUGGCUACGCGAAUAUUGACACUGAUGCACGAAAGCGUGGGGAUCAAACAGG